RNAcentral lists this ribosomal RNA (497 nucleotides) under uncultured bacterium. RNAcentral's name for it is "partial 16S ribosomal RNA". It matches the Rfam family "Bacterial small subunit ribosomal RNA", at positions 28 to 507 of the family's 1533-position model. The record is from RNAcentral.
GAUGAACGCUGGCGGCGUGCCUAAUACAUGCAAGUCGAGCGAACGGACGAGAAGCUUGCUUCUCUGAUGUUAGCGGCGGACGGGUGAGUAACACGUGGAUAACCUACCUAUAAGACUGGGAUAACUUCGGGAAACCGGAGCUAAUACCGGAUGAUAUUUUGAACCGCAUGGUUCAAAAGUGAAAGACGGUCUUGCUGUCACUUAUAGAUGGAUCCGCGCUGCAUUAGCUAGUUGGUAAGGUAAUGGCUUACCAAGGCAACGAUGCAUAGCCGACCUGAGAGGGUGAUCGGCCACACUGGAACUGAGACACGGUCCAGACUCCUACGGGAGGCAGCAGUAGGGAAUCUUCCGCAAUGGGCGAAAGCCUGACGGAGCAACGCCGCGUGAGUGAUGAAGGUCUUCGGAUCGUAAAACUCUGUUAUUAGGGAAGAACAUAUGUGUAAGUAACUGUGCGCAUCUUGACGGUACCUAAUCAGAAAGCCACGGCUAACUACGUG